RNAcentral lists this ribosomal RNA (399 nucleotides) under uncultured bacterium. RNAcentral describes it as "bacterial SSU rRNA". It matches the Rfam family "Bacterial small subunit ribosomal RNA", at positions 361 to 773 of the family's 1533-position model. The record is from RNAcentral.
AUCUUCCGCAAUGGACGAAAGUCUGACGGAGCGACGCCGCGUGGUAGAUGAAGUCCUUAGGGACGUAAAUACCUUUUAUGAGGGAAGAAGUUUAUUGACAUUACCUCAUGAAUAAGGGGCUCCCAAUUCUGUGCCAGCCGGAGCGGUAAUACAGAAGCCUCGAGCGUUACCCGGAUUUACUGGACGUAAAGGGUGUGUAGGUGGUGUGAUUAGUCUUGCGUUAAAUCCUAGGGCUUAACCCUAGGCUCGCGUGAGAUACGGUCACACUAGAGGAAGUGAGAGGUGUGUGGAACUCAAGGUGUAGGGGUGAAAUCCGUUGAUAUCUUGGGGAACACCAAAAGCGAAGGCAACACACUGGCACUUUCCUGACACUGAAACACGAAAGCGUGGGUAGCGAAU